CAAAAUGUAAUUUUCAAAUGGUUAUCCAAACACCAACAUUGUUGUUCACUAGCACAUAUGAACCCAAAAAGUAAAAACUGAAACUAGUUCACAUCCAGCAGGAACAAAGAGAGGUUCCACCAAAUUCCAAUUCACUCACUACAUUCAUAUCUAAUAGAAUAAAAUGGUCCACAAAAACAGAUAACUUAUUUUAGUAACCUUAAAACUACUAAACAAGAGUAACUUUUUGUAAUUACAUUAGAACUUAUCUACAUUUAUACCAUCUCUAGUAACCUCAUAUGCUUCCCUUUUCCUUGUCUUCUUCAUGCCGGCCAUGAAAUGGAGCUUUGGUCCCUCAGAUGAAAUGGUGGUUACUUUUACCCAGAUCAGCACCUUAGUCUUUAUUCCCUCUAUUUCUGCUAGCUUUCCUUUCUCCAAAUAACCACUCACACAGGUGGAGAACCUUAAGACUGAUGAAUCUCGGUAGCCGACUUCGCACACUUGAGGAAUGUAAACAACAAGUUUCCCAGUUUCUUCAUUGAAUUCGUAGUUUGUUGCAUCACGAGGAAACAUUCCAAUGGGUAGAUCAUACUCCUUUAGUA
Molecule: long non-coding RNA, 581 nt
Filed under: Vigna radiata
Lineage: Eukaryota; Viridiplantae; Streptophyta; Magnoliopsida; Fabales; Fabaceae
Description: long non-coding RNA (VRAD_LNC002581)
Source: RNAcentral